RNAcentral lists this ribosomal RNA (468 nucleotides) under uncultured bacterium. Its description in RNAcentral is "partial 16S ribosomal RNA". It matches the Rfam family "Bacterial small subunit ribosomal RNA", at positions 28 to 507 of the family's 1533-position model. The record is from RNAcentral.
GACGAACGCUGGCGGCGUGCUUAACACAUGCAAGUCGAACGGAAAGGCCCUGCUUUUGUGGGGUGCUCGAGUGGCGAACGGGUGAGUAACACGUGAGUAACCUGCCCUUGACUUUGGGAUAACUUCAGGAAACUGGGGCUAAUACCGGAUAGGAGCUCCUGCUGCAUGGGGGGGGUUGGAAAGUUUCGGCGGUUGGGGAUGGACUCGCGGCUUAUCAGCUUGUUGGUGGGGUAGUGGCUUACCAAGGCUUUGACGGGUAGCCGGCCUGAGAGGGUGACCGGCCACAUUGGGACUGAGAUACGGCCCAGACUCCUACGGGAGGCAGCAGUGGGGAAUAUUGCACAAUGGGCGGAAGCCUGAUGCAGCAGCGCCGCGUGCGGGAUGACGGCCUUCGGGUUGUAAACCGCUUUCGCCUGUGACGAAGCGUGAGUGACGGUAAUGGGUAAAGAAGCACCGGCUAACUACGUG